AAUUUAACAAAUCUCCGAGCCCUUUUCCUAAUCCUCCGACUUACGGGGUAUGGAAGAAGGCCGUUAGGGUAAGGUUGGAAACGGCUUUACCUCCCGUGUUUGGAAAGGAGAUGGAGGAUCGAAAUG
Molecule: non-coding RNA, 126 nt
Filed under: Deltaproteobacteria bacterium
Lineage: Bacteria; Pseudomonadati; Myxococcota; Myxococcia
Description: MoCo sequence
Rfam family: Molybdenum/Tungsten riboswitch aptamer (Moco RNA motif)
Source: RNAcentral